RNAcentral lists this ribosomal RNA (253 nucleotides) under uncultured bacterium. RNAcentral describes it as "partial 16S ribosomal RNA". It matches the Rfam family "Bacterial small subunit ribosomal RNA", at positions 524 to 776 of the family's 1533-position model. The record is from RNAcentral.
UACGUAGGGAGCAAGCGUUGUCCGGAAUCAUUGGGCGUAAAGCGCGCGUAGGUGGCCACAUAAGUCCGUUGUGAAAGUCAAAGGCUCAACCUUUGAAAGCCGAUGGAUACUGUGUGGCUAGAGUACAGAAGAGGCGAGUGGAAUUCCUGGUGUAGCGGCGGAAUGCGUAGAGAUCCGGAGGAACACCGACGGCGUAGGCAGCGCCCUGGCCGUUUCCUGACGCUGAUGCACGAAAGCUGGGGGAGCAAACAGG